Molecule: ribosomal RNA, 1021 nt
Filed under: Salmonella enterica subsp. enterica serovar Hadar
Lineage: Bacteria; Pseudomonadati; Pseudomonadota; Gammaproteobacteria; Enterobacterales; Enterobacteriaceae
Also listed under: 1 other name
Description: partial 23S ribosomal RNA
Rfam family: Bacterial large subunit ribosomal RNA
Source: RNAcentral
AAUCCAUAGGUUAAUGAGGCGAACCGGGGGAACUGAAACAUCUAAGUACCCCGAGGAAAAGAAAUCAACCGAGAUUCCCCCAGUAGCGGCGAGCGAACGGGGAGGAGCCCAGAGCCUGAAUCAGCAUGUGUGUUAGUGGAAGCGUCUGGAAAGGCGCGCGAUACAGGGUGACAGCCCCGUACACAAAAGCGCAUGUGCUGUGAGCUCGAUGAGUAGGGCGGGACACGUGGUAUCCUGUCUGAAUAUGGGGGGACCAUCCUCCAAGGCUAAAUACUCCUGACUGACCGAUAGUGAACCAGUACCGUGAGGGAAAGGCGAAAAGAACCCCGGCGAGGGGAGUGAAAAAGAACCUGAAACCGUGUACGUACAAGCAGUGGGAGCACCCUUUGGGGUGUGACUGCGUACCUUUUGUAUAAUGGGUCAGCGACUUAUAUUCUGUAGCAAGGUUAACCGUAUAGGGGAGCCGGAGGGAAACCGAGUCUUAAUUGGGCGUUAAGUUGCAGGGUAUAGACCCGAAACCCGGUGAUCUAGCCAUGGGCAGGUUGAAGGUUGGGUAACACUAACUGGAGGACCGAACCGACUAAUGUUGAAAAAUUAGCGGAUGACCUGUGGCUGGGGGUGAAAGGCCAAUCAAACCGGGAGAUAGCUGGUUCUCCCCGAAAGCUAUUUAGGUAGCGCCUCGUGAAUUCAUCUCCGGGGGUAGAGCACUGUUUCGGCUAGGGGGCCAUCCCGGCUUACCAACCCGAUGCAAACUGCGAAUACCGGAGAAUGUUAUCACGGGAGACACACGGCGGGUGCUAACGUCCGUCGUGAAGAGGGAAACAACCCAGACCGCCAGCUAAGGUCCCAAAGUCAUGGUUAAGUGGGAAACGAUGUGGGAAGGCCCAGACAGCCAGGAUGUUGGCUUAGAAGCAGCCAUCAUUUAAAGAAAGCGUAAUAGCUCACUGGUCGAGUCGGCCUGCGCGGAAGAUGUAACGGGGCUAAACCAUGCACCGAAGCUGCGGCAGCGACGCUUAUGCGU